AGUCAUAUGCUUGUCUCAAAGAUUAAGCCAUG
Molecule: ribosomal RNA, 32 nt
Filed under: Sympodiomycopsis paphiopedili
Lineage: Eukaryota; Fungi; Basidiomycota; Exobasidiomycetes; Microstromatales
Also listed under: 8 other names
Description: partial 18S rRNA
Source: RNAcentral